This 175-nucleotide long non-coding RNA is filed under the name Monodelphis domestica (gray short-tailed opossum). RNAcentral describes it as "lncRNA (ENSMODG00000050422.1)". The record is from RNAcentral. Lineage: Eukaryota; Metazoa; Chordata; Mammalia; Didelphimorphia; Didelphidae.
UGGUAAUAUUUGGUUACAGUAAGAUCUGUUGUUUCACAGGAAGUCCAGCAGAGGGGCCUGUAAUUUGAUUCAGUUAGUAACUUGGAAAACCAAGAGGGGAAGAAAGCCCAACAUUCUUAAGGUAAACUUUAACCAGAAUGCUAUUUUUUAAAUUUUAUUUUCAUUGAAAGCAAGU